ACAACGAAGAGUUUGAUCCUGGCUCAGGAUGAACGCUAGCGGCAGGCUUAACACAUGCAAGUCGAGGGGUAAUCCCGCUUUCGAGCGGGAACGACCGGCGCACGGGUGAGUAACGCGUAUGGAACCUACCUGCAACAGGGGUAUAGCCUCCGGAAACGGAUGUUAAUCCCCCAUAAAGUUUAUUGGUGGCCUCACCGAUAAAUUAAAGCUAAGGCGG
RNAcentral lists this ribosomal RNA (217 nucleotides) under Bacteroidales bacterium. RNAcentral's name for it is "partial 16S ribosomal RNA". It matches the Rfam family "Bacterial small subunit ribosomal RNA", at positions 1 to 218 of the family's 1533-position model. The record is from RNAcentral. Lineage: Bacteria; Pseudomonadati; Bacteroidota; Bacteroidia; Bacteroidales.